RNAcentral lists this ribosomal RNA (330 nucleotides) under uncultured eukaryote. RNAcentral's name for it is "partial 18S ribosomal RNA". It matches the Rfam family "Eukaryotic small subunit ribosomal RNA", at positions 1470 to 1796 of the family's 1831-position model. The record is from RNAcentral.
CCCUUAGAUGUUCGGGGCCGCACGCGCGCUACACUGAAGGAAUCAGCACGUCUUUCUCCUUGUCCGAAAGGACUGGGUAACCCGCUGAGCCUCCUUCGUGCUAGGGAUUGGGGCUUGUAAUUCUUCCCCAUGAACGAGGAAUUCCCAGUAAGCGCGAGUCAUAAGCUCGCGUUGAUUACGUCCCUGCCCUUUGUACACACCGCCCGUCGCUACUACCGAUUGGAUGGUUUAGUGAGAUCCUCGGAUUGGUCCCGGAGCGGCCUCUGGUCGUGCCGGAGUGCCGAAAAGAAUGUCGAACUUGAUCAUCUAGAGGAAGUAAAAGUCGUAACA